CCUACGGGUGGCUGCAGUGGGGAAUAUUGGACAAUGGGCGCAAGCCUGAUCCAGCCACGCCGCGUGAGUGAUGAAGGCCUUCGGGUCGUAAAGCUCUGUGGGGAGGGACGAACCCUGACUGGUGAAUAGCCAGGCAGUUGACGGUACCUCCUUAGCAAGCACCGGCUAACUCCGUGCCAGCAGCCGCGGUAAUACGGAGGGUGCAAACGUUGCUCGGAAUCACUGGGCGUAAAGCGCACGUAGGCGGUCCGAUAAGUCGGAUGUGAAAGCCCUGG
RNAcentral lists this ribosomal RNA (275 nucleotides) under uncultured Kofleria sp. RNAcentral describes it as "partial 16S ribosomal RNA". It matches the Rfam family "Bacterial small subunit ribosomal RNA", at positions 338 to 606 of the family's 1533-position model. The record is from RNAcentral. Lineage: Bacteria; Pseudomonadati; Myxococcota; Haliangiales; Kofleriaceae.